GAUGAAGAACGCAGCGAAAUGCGAUAAGUAAUGUGAAUUGCAGAAUUCAGUGAAUCAUCGAAUCUUUGAACGCACCUUGCGCCCUUUGGCCAUUCCGAAGGGCAUGCCUGUUUGAGUAUCAUGAACACCUCAACUCUUCAUGGUUUUCCGUGAUGAGCUUGGACUUUGGGGGUCUUGCUGGCCUAUGGUCAGCUCCUCUAAAAUAAAUCAGCUUGCCAGUGUUUGGUGGGUAUCACAGGUGUGAUAACUAUCUACGCUUGUGGUUUUCCACCAGGUAACCUUCAGCAGUGGAGGUUCGCUGGAGCUCACAGAUGUGUCUCUCCUCAGUGAGGACAGCUCUUUGAAUGUUUGAUCUCAAAUCAGGUAGGACUACCCGCUGAACUUAAGCAUAUCAAAAGCGGAGGA
Molecule: unclassified non-coding RNA, 405 nt
Filed under: soil metagenome
Description: partial contains 5.8S ribosomal RNA, internal transcribed spacer 2, and large subunit ribosomal RNA
Rfam family: 5.8S ribosomal RNA (bases 1-121)
Source: RNAcentral